AACGAACGCUGGCGGCAGGCUUAACACAUGCAAGUCGAGCGCCCCGAAAGGGAGCGGCAGACGGGUGAGUAACGCGUGGGAAUGUGCCCUUUGGUCUGGAUUAACUCAGGGAAACUUGAGCUAAUACCGGAUAAGCCCUUCGGGGGAAAGAUUUAUUGCCAUUGGAGCAGCCCGCGUCAGAUUAGCUAGUUGGUGAGGUAAAAGCUCACCAAGGCGAUGAUCUGUAGCUGGUCUGAGAGGACGACCAGCCACACUGGGACUGAGACACGGCCCAGACUCCUACGGGAGGCAGCAGUGGGGAAUAUUGGACAAUGGGGGCAACCCUGAUCCAGCCAUGCCGCGUGAGUGAUGAAGGCCUUAGAGUUGUAAAGCUCUUUUACUCGGGAAGAUAAUGACUGUACCGAGAGAAUAAGCCCCGGCUAACUUCGUGCCAGCCGCCGCCGUAA
Molecule: ribosomal RNA, 446 nt
Filed under: uncultured bacterium
Lineage: Bacteria
Description: partial 16S ribosomal RNA
Rfam family: Bacterial small subunit ribosomal RNA
Source: RNAcentral